Molecule: transfer RNA, 68 nt
Filed under: Zicrona caerulea
Lineage: Eukaryota; Metazoa; Arthropoda; Insecta; Hemiptera; Pentatomidae
Description: tRNA-Ile
Source: RNAcentral
AAUAAGAUGCCUGAAUUAAUAGGACUAUUUUGAUAGAAUAGAACAUGUAUUUUAAAAUACUCUUAUUA